GCCAGGUGGGCCACUUUGAGAUCAGCAACAAGUCCAGAGUCCAGACUUAUUUAUAAACCCACAGGAAAAGUUCCAGGGCCUGCUCUACCAUAUGACCUGGACUAAGGUGAAGAAAGAUUAGUGUGAAAGGACAGGAAGUCCUCUGUGGCCAAAUGGGUUUCCAGUGUAAGCCAUUUGCCCUUUUCAGUCAGGAAGAAGCUAUAAAUUGAUCUCUAGAGUGUCAGCAUACCUAGACUCCUAUAAAAGCUAUGAUCUCAAGGUACAGAGCUUGACCUUUUAGGGGUUGUUUAUGAAAGUUAAUUACAACUUGCAUCAUGGAGAUCACUGACUCAUGUACAGGGAUACAGUGGAGAAUAAGGCAGGCAGGGUCCCUGUCCUCAUGGAGUUUACUUUCUGACGAGGGAGAUGGACAAACUGAUAAAUACAUGAGAACUUCAUGUGCUGCAAGAAAAUAAAAACACAGCAAUAGGACAGAGGUUUAUGUGAGGAAGAAUAUUUCAGCUAAAGGGAUCUAAGAAACCUUUUGGACAGAGCAACACUGAAGCAGAGAUUUGACUGCUGCGAAGACCCAAAGAAAGUAGCAGUACACUGAAAAGAACCUACUAUGUGCCAAGCAUGGACCUGAGGUAGAGCUGCGAACAAGUACAGUAGUGACCACAUGGAACAAGUGUGGACCCUGGACUCACACUGCCUCUGUUUACCUCCUGCCUUUGCUGCUUUGGUACCCUCUGACUUGGGCAGCAUACUUAAUUUUGUGAAGACUUAGUUCCCCUUCUGUAGAAGGAGUAAAUCUAGUAGCACUUACUCUAUGGCAUUAAACAACUAAAUUAAAUUUAGUCUGGGCAGAGUAAAGCAACUGAGAAAUUUCAAUGUCCUGUUGCAGCAAAACAAUAACAGUUUCGGUGUGCAUUCAUUUAUUUGCUCAUAUGGUCAUUCAUUCAUUCUUCCUUUCAUUCAAUAAAGGAUCUCUCAGCAAAUUUCUAUUCUGUUCCAGCUGCUGGGCUGUAGGGAACAAUGAUGAAUGUACAGCCUUAUAUCUGCUCUCAGAGGGGUAGAGUUUUUCUGUGUUCAGACCAUAAAGCUAAGCAUGGUGGCCUAUGUUUGUAAUCCCAGCAGGCAGGAGAAUCAGGAGCCAGACCAUGUCUCCUAAGAAAAGGAUAGAAAAUAAGCACAUUAGCCUGGUAAGUAAGUGUGUGAGUGUCAGGAGCUUCACAUGUAGAUAUGUGGGGUGCUCUGGAGGCUGAUGCACACGAGGGCAUGUGUUGUUUUGGUCAUGGG
Molecule: long non-coding RNA, 1278 nt
Organism: Heterocephalus glaber (naked mole-rat)
Lineage: Eukaryota; Metazoa; Chordata; Mammalia; Rodentia; Bathyergidae
Source: Ensembl